UACGUAGGGACCAAGCGUUGUUCGGAUUUACUGGGCGUAAAGGGCGCGUAGGCGGCAAAUCAAGUCAGCUGUGAAAUCUCCGAGCUUAACUCGGAACGGUCAGCUGAUACUGUUUUGCUAGAGUGCAGAAGGGGCAAUCGGAAUUCUUGGUGUAGCGGUGAAAUGCGUAGAGAUCAAGAGGAACACCUGAGGUGAAGACGGGUUGCUGGGCUGACACUGACGCUGAGGCGCGAAAGCUAGGGUAGCAAACGGG
This 253-nucleotide ribosomal RNA is filed under the name uncultured bacterium. RNAcentral's name for it is "partial 16S ribosomal RNA". It matches the Rfam family "Bacterial small subunit ribosomal RNA", at positions 524 to 776 of the family's 1533-position model. The record is from RNAcentral.